GGGGUUGUGGCUCAGUGGUAGAGCACUUGCCUAACACACGUGAGGCCCUGAGUUCAAUCCUCAGCACCA
This 69-nucleotide transfer RNA is filed under the name Ictidomys tridecemlineatus (thirteen-lined ground squirrel). Its description in RNAcentral is "Spermophilus tridecemlineatus (thirteen-lined ground squirrel) tRNA". It matches the Rfam family "tRNA". From Rfam's summary of the family: Transfer RNA (tRNA) molecules are approximately 80 nucleotides in length. Lineage: Eukaryota; Metazoa; Chordata; Mammalia; Rodentia; Sciuridae. The record is from Rfam by way of RNAcentral.